This 660-nucleotide long non-coding RNA is filed under the name Homo sapiens (human). RNAcentral describes it as "HSALNT0019889". Lineage: Eukaryota; Metazoa; Chordata; Mammalia; Primates; Hominidae. The record is from RNAcentral.
CUCCGCAUCUGCUCCUUCAUCCAGUGCCGCAGCCGGAAAACCGCAGCGGCGGCGGCGGCGGCUGAGGGGGAACGAUCCAGCGAGCUGCAGAAAGGGGGGCAGGAAAAAAUUACAAGGACAUUACUGAUAAGACAGGAACUGAGAGCUUGGGAUUCGCGGCCUCUCCCCGGCCACCACCUUCGCCGUCAGCAAGGGAGGAAGACCCGGGAGACGGCAGCGGCGACGGCGGCAGGGGAAGGAGGAGACGGCGACGGGAGGGAGCACAGAGGAGGGGACGGGCCGGCGGCGGCCUGUGAGCCGCAGUGAUUUUGACGUUUUCCGCUGCUGCGUCUCCGGCGGGCAGGGGCCGGGCUGCGCUGGGUGGGCCAGCUCGCCCCGCGCUUCCCCCUCGUCCUGCUCGUCCCUCCGCCCACCCGGGGCCUGAGGGGUCUCCCCGCUCCGAGGGAAGGGGAGAGGGAGGCGAGGGCGUGCGGGCAUCGCGAUGGCGGGGACAUUUUCCACAACGUGAUUGUUGAAGGCUCCCCCCAUCCCCCCUCCCUUAAAAUUCCGGGCCCUUCCAGCCUCCACCCUCCCCCAAGCCCGUGUGACUAAACCGAGACAAAGGGGAGGCGGCCUCGCUCACACGCGGGCUCGCGGGGCGGGUGGCUCGGAGGGGCGCGG